UUCACUACAUGUUAUGUUGAAUAAUGUGUAUAUAUGUGUUUCUGAAAGAUAAACUGUGAUGCUGAUGAAGAAAAGAUAAGUCUAAAAUUUAUAGAUCAUGUAUAAGAGAUCCAAAAUGUAGAAUGCACCUCUUAUGUUUGUUUUAGUUGCUACAAGUGUUGCUUUAGAGACUAUCAGUGCCCACCUGCAUUCAUUAUAUGUAGAAUACAUAGCUUUAAUCUCCGAUAAUCAUCACUCUUGCUUAAAGACUACAUAGCUAGAAAGUUUCAUCUUUCUGAAUUUAUGUCGACUAUACAUAAUAUCCAAACUACAUGAUCAUGUUUUGUGAUUAAUGGCUCGAGAUUGAUCACCACUUUUAAUUGGAAUCUGGAUGCAC
RNAcentral lists this long non-coding RNA (376 nucleotides) under Carica papaya (papaya). RNAcentral describes it as "long non-coding RNA (CPAP_LNC000785)". The record is from RNAcentral. Lineage: Eukaryota; Viridiplantae; Streptophyta; Magnoliopsida; Brassicales; Caricaceae.